This is a long non-coding RNA of Columba livia (rock pigeon), 7192 nucleotides long. RefSeq lists it as uncharacterized. Lineage: Eukaryota; Metazoa; Chordata; Aves; Columbiformes; Columbidae. The record is from RefSeq and is a predicted model, not a curated record. The transcript is spliced from 5 exons.
GGUUAUUUUAAUAGCAGUUCACCAAAUCCAGCCACAUUUGGGUAGCUUUUUAAAAAUCUCAACAUGCUGUUAACGUGCCUAUUGAAGGACCCGGAGUAAUAUUGCCAGCUGGGUGACAGAUGUUUGGUCACGUCCUUCCAACCCCUGCCACAUUUGGUGACUGACAGGACACAGGAUAUGCCUUUGCUGGGAUAGGAUCAGCAUUCCUCCAUGAGUUUUCCGCCGGCUCUUGCUAGCAGCACAGAUUCAGGGAAUUUUGCUCAGACAAACGAAGGAUAUGAUUUCCGUGUUACGCGUUGGUAUGACGUACUGGUGGCAGCUGCUUUACUGGGAAGCAGGACAGUCAUGCUCCCCGGCUCCCUCCCCUUCCCUGGUCCCUGCACGUCCCUCGCUGCCCUUGCAUCUGAUUUAGCAGCUGUGCAGCUGUUGUGGAGAUGGAUGAGCAAGCUGGUUGGAUCACCUGGAUACCUACUGACGCUAAUCAGCCUUGUUGGGAGGUUCAAGGUUCAAUUAUGACCUGAAAAUAAUUCUAGUACAUUGGCAAUGUGACCUGAUCUGAGUCAUUGGCAUAAUGCAAACGGGCAAAAGUGUAAAUGGAUAAAACUGCUCAGCACCGUCGUUUUCCAAAAGCAGCUUAGCUGAUUGCCAAACAGAACUAGAAAAGCAGUCAUGGAAAUUCAUACCUUCCAGCAGUACAUCUUCAUGGAUUUAGUGGCUUUCCAGUGAUGAGUGCAGUUUCCAGGGAGUAAGUCAGCUACGUCAGAUGUCUUUUUUUCUCCGUCAUCUUUUUACAAAGAAAGAAACAGAUACGACCUCGUACACUGAAAGCUGGAUCCGAGGGACAGAAAAUAACGUCUGUGAUUAGGAGUACAAAGGCUUGGAAAAUGCAGAGGAAGAAACAAGAAAACCCUAGAGCUCCUGGUUUGGGAUCUAUCUGCAAUGCACUGAUGGAUGCUGACAGCAUGUAGGCACUCGGUUACAAUGAACACCCACUGCCACCGAGAUGACUGCAAGAAAUAAAAACACCUCAACCAACUGAAAGGUCUAUUUGUUCUCAUCAUACAAAGUCCUUGUCACAAGCAAGGUUUUGUCUGAGUAAAGAUUUUGUAAUACAAUCUUCCGGCUGUUCUACAGGAUUAACUUUCGCUCUGAUUUAAUGUAAAUAACAAGAUCUGGAGAGAAGAUGACACUUCAACAUGACAAUUUCUUGGAUUUUUGUUCAGCUCCUGAGGCACCCACUUCUUGAGAUUUUUUCACCUUUCCAACCCGUUUCAACUGCCGAAUGACCAUAGAAUGGUUGACAUUGAGUUCUUCGGUGACUUCUCAUUAAGUAAGAGGAUCAGCUUUGAUGAUUACUUUUAAUUGGUUGUUGUCAACUUCUGAUGGCCAACCACUAUGCUCCUCAUCUUCAAGGCUCUCAUCUCCUUUGUGAAACUUCUGGUACAACCACUGCACUGUAUGUUUGUUAGCAGAUCCUGGGCCAAAUGCAUUGUUGAUAUUGUGAGUUGUCUCUGACAACUGUAUGACUCAUUUUGAACUUGAAUAAGAAAAUAGCUUGAAUUUGCUUUUUGUCUAACAUAAUUUCCAUAGUCUAAAAUAAAUACAAAAUUAACAGUAGCAAAAAAAAAAAAAUAAUCCAGAAAAGAGCAUUAAAAUUAUGUAUAACAUAAUCACAUUUAAGAACGUAUUCCAAUAUCAAACAGCAAAUUUUAUCAGUGCAAAAAAUGCAAUGCCUUCUGCACCAACCUGAUAGUACUUUCACCUCAUCCUGUAAAAAUCUGAUUAAAAAAGAAAUUUGAAAAAAAAAAGCUCUAUAUAGGAUCUUUCUCUCUAGCCUUCAAAAGGAAAGCAAUAUCACAUUAGCAAAGCAGAAAAUGGAAGUAUAGUGGGGAGAAGAGACUUCUGCUUCAAAGUAGGGGCAAAAUCAACAAAUGCAAGCUUUUCAAGAGAACCUCAUUCUUGAAAGGAUGAAUAACAGUUAAACUGAGUUUCAUUUUAGUCUUCUGUGUUUGGGCAAAACGUUUGAGGCAAUCUGAAUGCAAUCUUUACAGACGCAAAGUUCAUAGACAUGACUGUCUGCAGAAAUGUGUAACAAGGUCAGUUACAUUUACUUUUGCACACAGAUGGAAAUUAUUCCCAUAUGUAUUUACUGGGCUCCUUGACAAUGUUAUGGAAUAGAUUUGGUCAGUCAGAAGAUCAUUCAGUGUGGUUCAUUGUAUCAUAUGCUUUCCUCAUAUCCAUUGCAAAAUAGAUUGACGUUUCUGGAUUAAAUAUUUGAAGACAGUGAAUUCCUUCAAAGAACCGUACUCAAUCACUUCCAGCAGUCCUCAGUGAUCGUGUUCUCACUGCAGCUCUCAUUACUUCUAUUUUCUGUCAGAUAGGAACGGAAGAUAAAACUGUAUCAAAUGAUGGAAUGUGGUUUAUUAUUUCAGCUGUCAUUCAGACAAAAUGAACAAUGCUGACAUUGACCUUCAAGCUAAGCAAGACUUGGUUAAACGUCUAGACGCAUCCACUGAACUUCACAUCUUUUGAUAAGAGGACAACAAAACGCCUGAAGCACUGGAGUUUCUGCACUCAGUAAUUAUCAUAGAAGAGAAAUAUUAAAAUAUUUGACCAAAAUGGUAUAGAGAUAGUUUACCUUGCAAUUUGGCUGAAAGCUUUACAUUCUAUUAAUGAGGGUCAAAUCUUUCUGUGUGUUGCCAUGGACAUACAGGAUUUAGGGGUGUAACAGAACAGGAUUUGUGCCACUUGCAAUAAAUUAUGACCAAGAGUCAUUUCUUCUAAAGCAGGCUUCAUUUUAAGUAAAAAAUUUUAAAAUAAAUAGAUAAAACCACCACCAAAACCAAUCCUGGCAGCUACACACUAAAGCAUUCACUAAACACUUUACCUCCAACACACUGACACCAAGCGAACCCAAGAAAUUUCUGGACAAAGACUUUUUUUUCACCUGACCAGUAUUGAGGUAUAUAGCUCUUUUCCUCUGCUUGGAUCUGAUAGCAACUUAGUUCCCAAGGUGUUUCUUGAAGUGGGUUCAGCUAUUCACAUCAAAGUAUUUUAAGUAUCUGUCUUUGAUUUAUUGUUGCAAGAAGCAAGACUGCCAAACCUUAAGGCUUUUGCACAUUGUGGGAACACAUCAGGCCCUGAAAGCUUUGUCCACAGACCCCACAAUAACUAUGACUCAUGAAAUGCUAUUAUUUUCUCAGUAUGCAAUAAAAAAGUAUUAUUUAUAGCAUCAUACAAACUAUUAAGAAACUUUUUUCUUUGAAGGGAAUAAUAAUUUGGAUAAAUCGUAGUAUUUACAGUUUGAAUUGGGGCCAUACCUCAUUUCUUGGCAAAAUACAUGGUUAUGAUGAAGGAUCCCAAGUCCCCAAAAUAAUUCUGACAGUCAUAAGUUUGCUGAGGUCUAAUAUCUGAUUGGUUUUGGAUCAGAAGUGACUUGAGCACCAAAGUAAUUUUAAGAACAUGAACAGUGGAACAGUUUUCUUGCCUUAGGGCUCUCACUCUUGUGCCUCAUGCUGGGUCUUUACAUAUAUCCUCAAAAAGGUCUUACAGCUCUCAGAAAGUGCUUUGGGUAGGAUUUGUCAAAAGUUUUCAGCAGAGGCUCAUCUGUUCCUGCCCAAGUUUGUGGCAAGAGCCCAGUAAAACCCCCUGCAGCAGAGAGUUACAACGAGUUGUACGUUACAUGACCAUUACUGCUGUUAUCAGUUGUGCUCCGAGAAUGUCAGUCACAGAAGAAAUAGCUCAUCAGUGUUCAUUUUGGCCCAGACUAAAGAUAUAACAAAAUCUUCCCAAAGAUGACAUUUGAGGCACAAUCAGUUGUAACAAAAUGUUCUAGAAUGGCACUAGGUUUAUGACAGAGAGUUUUUCUCUGUACAAAAUACUCUUUUUCUGAAGCUGAUUACAAAGAGGACCAGGAAGCAUAGUCUUACUGAAAAUCAGAGGGAAUCGGUUGGUUUGCAUGUAGCAAUCAGAGAAGAUAUGUAUGCACAGUUCCAAAUACUGUGGCACCUUGUAAAUUAGGCUAUAAUAUGCAGCCAAAAAAUCAUGAAUGUUUAAAGCCAGGCUCAAAUACUUUCAUUUCAAACCUACUCUAUUUAGGUUAAAGUCUGUUUCUUAUGCCUUCAGCCCUGUACCAGUUUCAAGUCUAGUAAUAGUUAUGUAAAACUCAAAUAAGAAAAAAUCCUCAGUACAUGCAAAAAAACCCCACUCCAUGUGAACUGGAAUAUGGUGACGAUCUAUUCAGAAGCAGACACCAGAAAAUGGAUGAGACACAUGACAGAACACACGUGAAGAACCUUGUACACACUCUUUAGCACCUUUGUUCAUCUCCCAUGAUCUUGUAGUCUGCAUAAGACAGGAGCCCUCAACAAUAGCCCUGCUAUGGAAAUAACACUAGUUUUAUUCAUGGUGCAAAAGGUAUUUUCCUGCAGCUUUUCAUUCUGCAACACAACUUUAAAAAAUGAAAAAAAAAAAAAAAAAGUAGUAAAAGUGUUUAGAUAAAAGAUUUAAAAAUAUGAGUAAUUUCAUUUUUGUUUUCCCUCCUUCCUGGGACAGUGUGGAUUUAUACAACAUUCAUAGACCCUGGCAACAGGUUGCUUUUCCCUUUAUGAACAGAAUAUUGCUAUAACAUUUUGUAUUUCUUGUAUUUUCAUUCAAAGCGAUGAUACAGGAAUCAAGUGCAAUAAAAAGCUGUUGCUAAAUCAUACACUGAAACACAACCCGGGCUGAAGGAACAACUGUCACACUUUGCGCACAAUUCAGAAGGGCAUCUGAGUUCCUGCUGUCACCAGAAGUUGUAUUUUAAUCGCUACAGAACAUGAUAUGCCAGAGAUAAGUAUGCAAAAGCUGCAAAACAGCCAGUAUUUUUCCUCAGGUCAUGUCAGGGAAAAAGUACUAUAGUUUCUUUUCUGCCUAUCUGAGUUCACGCCAACGUACUCAGAAAGCUGUCGUCUGGCCUUUCUGUGCCUGUGAUAUAUUGCAUCAAUCUCCCAGUUCCCACAAGUUCAUUUUUAAAGAGCUUCUGUUCAUUUAUGUCUGCCUCGUAAAAGAUCUCUUGUGUUGUUUUUCUCCCCACCCCCUUCAAGAUUAAUAAACACUCUGCUAAGAAAAGGCUUUAGCAUCAAUCAGAUUUCAUAACUGAUUAGACGUGAGAUACUCUGGCUGCAUUUGCAAUGGGCCUCUUUCAACUGUUUUUGCUUCUAAAAUUAGCUUAGCUAUUUCCUGAGAGAAGUCUCAGGAUAGAAGUAGACACCCACAACACAGUACAUCUGAGCUGUGUCAGACAGCACACUGAAAAGCUCAUCAGACUGCCCAAGAAAACCAAGAAACUCCUCACCUCCCCCUCCAUCAGGAGGGGCCAUGGAAGCCCCAGGCUGCAGAACCCAGCCUGGAGGUCUGUAUUUGGGAGACUGAAUGCCUGAUGCAACAAGGGAAAGCCAGAAACAGAUGCUGAGGACAAAACACUGCUCAUUAACUUAUAAAAUCAGAGGUCCCAUUAUUAUUGACAUCAGGACUUGUUCUCACUUUGCUGCUGAGCAGCCAACACGCCACAUCUGCCAACAGCAAGAUCUACAUUUCCCCAAAUGCCCUGGGUGCAUUGCUGCAGCCACCUGAAAAGCGAAGGCAGUAGUUCAUCGAAAUGUUUCCUGCCUCAUGCAUAAAAAGAUGUCCUCCUCAGUUUUUCAGGAGUUGUUGAGUUCAGCCAAUUUACUGAGUUCUGUGAAAUUCAGCAGAGUAAAUUUUAGAGCAAAGGACAAAAGUCCUGAUAUCCACAUUGUAAAUAACAUAUACAUGUCAGAAUCUGUGCAGGUCCUAUUUAUACAAGUUUACACCCUUCUGACAGUAGGAAAAAGAUUGGACCCUGAUAAAAAUAGGUUACAGUUACUUUUGCAAGACACAUAUCUUCUCCUUAGCUCAAGUUUGCUUUGUCCGACUGGCCAGCCCAUAUUAUGAAAUAAGAGACAAGCAUUUGCUUGAGGUCAUGGUGCAGUGAGUCUCAAGCAAGAGAUUUAACGUGAGACCUUUUUUUUUUUUAAAUGAAGAACUGACAAAACCAUGUCCUGUUAAGAGCAGCUCUGAAAUGGCAGGCUGAGGAUGGAAAUUUUUUAGUUAGAUGCAGUUUCUAACAAUGACUCAUUAGAAGAACAAGAAUCAGACACUGACUGCUUUUAAAGUUCUGCUCUACCAGUACUUAAAAAAAAAUAAAGUUGUAACAGAUUGGAGGUAUGCCUAAUAUGAGCAUGUGGUUUCUUAUUUAACAUGGACUGUAUAAAUAGAAAAGAUCCACAGUUACUGAAUGAAACCAGCAUUAAAAAACCACCAGACACAGCACAAGUUUCUAGGGAACUAAUACUAUAAAUCCUAAGCAUUCCCUUCAAGUAAGAUAACUUGGCAAGAAUGUGAGUAGUACCUACAGGUUUUUAGACAAGGUUUGGUAUGAGAGGAAGAGGCACAAUGAGAUCUCAUGUUCUUUUGUUUGUUUCUUUUCCCUGACAUCUUUAUACCAUAAUCAAAAGACUGAGUUUCAACUUCCAGGAUUUUUUGUUUUGAGUUCAAAACUAAGAGAAAAGAAGAGAGCAUUUAUUUGUAGUUGUCACUGUCUCUAUGCACCUGAGGUUCAAUUUAUGCAAACUAAUAUUGACGUGCAAGCACAUGUAACAGUCAAAACUGGUUAAAAAAACCCAACCAACCAAUCAACCAACAACCCCAAAACAAAAGAAAACGAAAAAAAACAAACCAACCAACCAAAAAAAAUUAAAACAAACCAAAAACAAAAAACCAAAACCACUCACACCUACAUAUCCAUGUAGGAAUAUGCAAUACUCACUUCUGAUCUUCUGCCUGCAUUUGUUAGCCCAAAAUGGCGGAGGAGGAAACAAAACCCAGCAACAAAUGCCAAAACAUUUUGCCUUCAGGAGCUUCGUUAGAUUACAUAAAUAUGUGAUAAACAGUGCUGCUGCAAACUUAUUUUGUGUCACUGAUAGCAGAAGUGACAAGCCAGCUAAUGCCAUUUGAGACUCUUGCACUCUAUUGUUAACUUUUCUUUUAUCCUGUAUCUUUUUAGCCAUACCUAUAAUGGCAUAACUGGAGCCAUUCAGAGGCUCCACUGCACAAUCAGCUACAUUGGAAGGAUUCCUUUUACAUGCACUUAUUCAAAUUUAACUUUAGAAAGUAGUUUCUUCUAGAAUCUUCU